RNAcentral lists this ribosomal RNA (338 nucleotides) under uncultured fungus. RNAcentral describes it as "eukaryotic LSU rRNA". The stretch from base 1 to 130 matches the Rfam family "5.8S ribosomal RNA", at positions 25 to 154 of the family's 154-position model. Lineage: Eukaryota; Fungi. The record is from RNAcentral.
UUCUGGCAUCGAUGAAGAACGCAGCGAAAUGCGAUAAGUAGUGUGAAUUGCAGAAUUCAGUGAAUCAUCGAAUCUUUGAACGCACAUUGCGCCCCUUGGUAUCCCGAGGGGCAUGCCUGUUCGAGCGUCAUUUCACCAUUCAAGCCUGGCUUGGUGUUGAGCGACGUCCCUUUAGGGACGCGCUUCGAAACGCUCGGCGGCGUGGCACCGGCUUUAAGCGUAGCAGAAUCUUUCGCUUUGAAAGUCGGGGCCCCGUCUGCCGGAAGACCUACUUCAAGGUUGACCUCGGAUCAGGUAGGGAUACCCGCUGAACUUAAGCAUAUCAAUAAGCGGAGGAA